Coturnix japonica (Japanese quail) is the source of this 804-nucleotide long non-coding RNA. RefSeq lists it as uncharacterized. The record is from RefSeq and is a predicted model, not a curated record. NCBI's taxonomy places the organism in Eukaryota, Metazoa, Chordata, Aves, Galliformes, Phasianidae.
CAGAAUAAUUGAUGGAAUCUCUCAGAUUGCCCAUUUUUCAGAGACAUGGAAUAAGUCAGAAUUACGCACAGGGUGCAAUGAGGCGAUUGAAGAGGAAUUUGACCCGUAAGCCUCCAGCUUGUCAGGAUUUUAAUCAGCUGCUCCCAACCUCAGGCAACGCUAAGACUAUAGGUGAGUCAUUUUUAAGAUGAAUAAUAAGUGUAGAUUUUACUUCAAAAGUCCCAUAUACUUCUUGAGUGUUGCUUCAGGUUGUGCUGAGAGCUGACCUCAGGUGGAGGAGCUGAGAAGCUCAUUACAUCAUUUCCACCUCACCUGGGUCCUUUUCAAAGCCAGGUGCUCCUGAAUGGUAAAAGAGUUCUGGGAUCAAGUUCUGAAGGUAGGAGGAAACCUGAAGUCUUCUGGUGGCUCUGGGGACCUCUCUAGAAGGAGUGAAGCUCUUGAAGAGCUGGAAUGAUGUGAUGAGAAACAAGCCUUCAAGUGGAAUUACAGCUGGUGUGGAUUUACCACGAUCUUCCCAUCCAUGUUCUCCUGGAUAAUCAACCAGUCUCCGAUGCUGAAUUCCCAAAGCUGGGCUCAAGAAGGAGCAGGAAGUGCUUUGUUUGGGAGCGCACUUGGAAACUCAGCUGUUGUGCUGGAAAACAUUCAGUAUUUGUGUAUCAACAGUGUAUAACUGCCUCCAGACAGCCAGAAGGAUGCAAUUCGUGCAGUGGGAUGGGGUGAUGCUCAGGCUUUGUAUGGGACCUGUCCAAGCAAUUGGUUUGGGACACAAGGAUGGGAGCGGUAGUGGAAGGAGAGCACAUCUAU